RNAcentral lists this ribosomal RNA (468 nucleotides) under uncultured bacterium. RNAcentral describes it as "partial 16S ribosomal RNA". It matches the Rfam family "Bacterial small subunit ribosomal RNA", at positions 28 to 507 of the family's 1533-position model. The record is from RNAcentral.
GACGAACGCUGGCGGCGUGCUUAACACAUGCAAGUCGAACGGAAAGGCCCUGCUUUUGUGGGGUGCUCGAGUGGCGAACGGGUGAGUAACACGUGAGUAACCUGCCCUUGACUUUGGGAUAACUUCAGGAAACUGGGGCUAAUACCGGAUAGGAGCUCCUGCUGCAUGGUGGGGGUUGGAAAGUUUCGGCGGUUGGGGAUGGACUCGCGGCUUAUCAGCUUGUUGGUGGGGUAGUGGCUUACCAAGGCUUUGACGGGUAGCCGGCCUGAGAGGGUGACCGGCCACAUCGGGACUGAGAUACGGCCCAGACUCCUACGGGAGGCAGCAGUGGGGAAUAUUGCACAAUGGGCGGAAGCCUGAUGCAGCAACGCCGCGUGCGGGAUGACGGCCUUCGGGUUGUAAACCGCUUUCGCCUGUGGCGAAGCGUGAGUGACGGUAAUGGGUAAAGAAGCACCGGCUAACUACGUG